GAUAUACCCUCUCCUUCCCGGAUUAUUUGUCACAUAAAUGGAAGUAUCUAGAUGUAUUUCUAGUUCUAGAUACAUCAAUUCUUAUCCAUUUUUGCGACAAGUAAUCCGGGACGGAGGGAGUACAUU
Non-coding RNA from Triticum aestivum (bread wheat), 126 nucleotides. The record is from Rfam. NCBI's taxonomy places the organism in Eukaryota, Viridiplantae, Streptophyta, Magnoliopsida, Poales, Poaceae.